CGCGGGAUGGAGCAAUCUGGUAGCUCGCUGGGCUCAUAACCCAGAGGUUGUUGGUUCAAAUCCGGCUCCCGCAACCA
Molecule: transfer RNA, 77 nt
Filed under: Clostridia bacterium
Lineage: Bacteria; Bacillati; Bacillota; Clostridia
Also listed under: 1 other name
Description: tRNA-Met
Rfam family: tRNA
About the family: Transfer RNA (tRNA) molecules are approximately 80 nucleotides in length. Their secondary structure includes four short double-helical elements and three loops (D, anti-codon, and T loops).
Source: RNAcentral